UGGGGAGCUAGCUGCAUGACUUUUUUAGUUUUGAGGUAAGUGACUUGAACUACAUACUUAUCUAUUAGUAGACAUAUAUAGCAACGGUAGUACUUGUUUUAGAAUUAAUGUUGUGUGUAAUUUAUGUGAUCCACGGCGUUGUAGACAUUGGGUCAGAUUUCUUUUUUGGUGUUUUGGUUGUUCAGAAACAAAGUCCUCAAUGAGGAGGUUUUUUCUAGUUUGGUUGUAGGAAUAACAAGCAGGUGAAUGAUGAACUCCGUCUUCUUGAACUGUGUUCCUUUUCUUGACAUUAGUUAUUGAGGUGAAGUAUGAUCCAUUUAAAGUUUGGGAUCAGUUCUUGAUCCCUGUUUUUCUCUUCGAGAAUGUAGGUAUUGCUUGGGAAAUUAUUAUCUACUUUUUACAAGCUUGAACUGGGAAGGCUUGAAUAAGUUCAAGUGAACCGCUUCAAAAUUAACAUCAUUCUUUGCUUUUUAAGGAG
Molecule: long non-coding RNA, 478 nt
Filed under: Panax ginseng (ginseng)
Lineage: Eukaryota; Viridiplantae; Streptophyta; Magnoliopsida; Apiales; Araliaceae
Description: long non-coding RNA (PGIN_LNC010955)
Source: RNAcentral